UACGGAGGAUCCAAGCGUUAUCCGGAAUCAUUGGGUUUAAAGGGUCCGUAGGCGGGCCUGUAAGUCAGGGGUGAAAUCUUUCGGCUCAACCGGAAAAUUGCCAUUGAUACUGCAGGCCUUGAAUUAUUGGGAAGUAACUAGAAUAUGUAGUGUAGCGGUGAAAUGCUUAGAUAUUACAUGGAAUACCGAUUGCGAAGGCAGGUUACUACCAAUACAUUGACGCUGAUGGACGAAAGCGUGGGGAGCGAACAGG
This 253-nucleotide ribosomal RNA is filed under the name uncultured bacterium. Its description in RNAcentral is "partial 16S ribosomal RNA". It matches the Rfam family "Bacterial small subunit ribosomal RNA", at positions 524 to 776 of the family's 1533-position model. The record is from RNAcentral.